Malaclemys terrapin pileata is the source of this 1804-nucleotide long non-coding RNA. RefSeq lists it as uncharacterized. The record is from RefSeq and is a predicted model, not a curated record. Lineage: Eukaryota; Metazoa; Chordata; Testudines; Emydidae. The transcript has 2 exons.
CUAACCUUGAGAACCACUGAAAAGCCAUGCAAGGAGCCGCAGAACCUCCAGGUUGGGAUGAAGUGUCUGACCAGCAUUCUGAGACAACAGAUGGGUAAGAGCUUGAAUACAAUGAAUAGCAAGAGCCUGCCCUUCGAGCUGGGAGCAGUCAUGGCAGAAUUCCCAUUCUGAGACAUCUGAGAGGAUCAUCUUGCAGAUGGAGCAUUGCUAGGUCUUUGGGUUGCUCCAUUUGGCCUGUCCCACACCACAAUGAAGUGUGUGGGAGAAGAAGGGAAACAGCUCGGCAUUAGUUCUGUCUCAUGAAUAAAGCCCUUAACUUUUGGUCCACUAAGCAAAAGGAGAGUGGGGGAAAAAAAAGGUUUCUCUCACUGCUGCCCCCAAAUUAAGAUAGCAAUGGAUAAAGCAGGAUUGCUGUACCACUGCUCUGUUUGUUUGCUGGAGUGAGAAACUGGGGUAAGGAUGAAAGGGAAGCAAACAAGUCCCAGAGCCCUGUGGACAAGUAUGAAUUGCCUCUGACAUUUUCAGAAAUAGAAGGGCAAACCAGCGGUCUCUCACUGACGAAGAAGCCAGGAUAUAGAGUUACACUUAUCCUGAGUGAACCUUCACUAUAAUAGUACAACUUAAUUUUCCAUGGUGGUAAGGUACCUGAUAAGCAGUGACAGUAUCACAUCUGUUUUCUAUACCUAUAUAAUAUACUACAAAACACCCCAGUCUUGGAAGAAUACAUUUAGACUGUAAAAUAUAUAGAAGUAUUUAAAUUUAGAAGCAGCUCAUGACAGUAACUUACUGAACCGUUUUUAAAUUGUAAGAGAUUUAGCAGAAUAUUUUCCACAAGUCUUCAGCCUCCGGUGGUAUUUUAUGCUUUGCCAUAACUUAUGUUCAAACUGAAGUUUCAUUGAAACAAUUUGAUACAUUUGGUUGUCUUGAAGACAGUGUUCACCACAGGUAAAAGGCCAGCACAUUAGUUUCCCCAGCAUGCAUCCGCUGUCCCCAAUUAGGAAUGCAGCUUGGCUAGGUUUAUUCUAUUACUAUUUGUACCACCUAGGAGCCUUAGUCACAGGACCCCACAGUGCUAGGCACUGUACACACAGAACAAAAAGAUGGCUCCGGUAUAAGAUGAGAGUGACAAUCUGUACUUCGGGGGAACACCAUACACCCCCAUGUUCAUCCUUGUAAAAUGAUUGUAUGGUAUCCAAUGCAAAAUUUGUCAUGUUGGGUGUCUUCAGACGGCUCAUGAUGCACUGAGCAUUAUUGUUACAGUAAUGUUAUAGGUUAUAAUUUCAUGUAUGUAGUUAUGAGGCUGAAAAUGUAUCCUCAUGGCUUAAAAUAAGCCCAGACAAAAACUCUCCAAGAGCUGAGAGGCAGUUCACACCUCAUCAGGGCAGGUAUGGGACAAACCCAGCCCAGCCUCACAGGAACAAAGGGUGCUGGCUUAGGCAGCAACAAAAGACUCUCGAGGGAGUCACCCCCCUUCCUUUGGUCAGUUUGGAAAUGCGAUGAGGUAAAGCUCACCAGACUCUGAAAGGGGGAGGGAGCAAAGCCAAGAGGGAAGAAAGGACAUGACAAAAGGGGAGACAUUUGCCAUGCUCUCUUUCUCUCCCACCUACAUCUACAGACACCACACCAAGUGCCUGAAGUGCUGAUCAAAGGGGAGAGCUUGGCUGAAGAGCAACCAACAUCUAAAUUUGUAAGGGCAUUGGGGGUGUUAAGAUCAGCUUAGAAUGUGUUUUGCUUUUAUUUCAUUUGACCAAAUCUGACUUGUUAUGCUUUGACUUAUAAUCACUUAAAAUCUCUUUGCAGUUAA